MicroRNA precursor from Papio anubis (olive baboon), 58 nucleotides. Lineage: Eukaryota; Metazoa; Chordata; Mammalia; Primates; Cercopithecidae. The record is from Ensembl.
AAUUACAGAUUGUCUCAGAGAAAACAAAUGAGUUACUCUCUCGGACAAGCUGUAGGUC